This 497-nucleotide ribosomal RNA is filed under the name uncultured bacterium. Its description in RNAcentral is "partial 16S ribosomal RNA". It matches the Rfam family "Bacterial small subunit ribosomal RNA", at positions 28 to 507 of the family's 1533-position model. The record is from RNAcentral.
GAUGAACGCUGGCGGCGUGCCUAAUACAUGCAAGUCGAGCGAACAGACGAGGAGCUUGCUCCUCUGACGUUAGCGGCGGACGGGUGAGUAACACGUGGAUAACCUACCUAUAAGACUGGGAUAACUUCGGGAAACCGGAGCUAAUACCGGAUAAUAUAUUGAACCGCAUGGUUCAAUAGUGAAAGACGGUUUUGCUGUCACUUAUAGAUGGAUCCGCGCCGCAUUAGCUAGUUGGUAAGGUAACGGCUUACCAAGGCAACGAUGCGUAGCCGACCUGAGAGGGUGAUCGGCCACACUGGAACUGAGACACGGUCCAGACUCCUACGGGAGGCAGCAGUAGGGAAUCUUCCGCAAUGGGCGAAAGCUUGACGGAGCAACGCCGCGUGAGUGAUGAAGGUCUUCGGAUCGUAAAACUCUGUUAGUAGGGAAGAACAAAGGUGUAAGUAACUAUGCACGUCUUGACGGUACCUAAUCAGAAAGCCACGGCUAACUACGUG